Molecule: non-coding RNA, 106 nt
Organism: Acanthosepion pharaonis
Lineage: Eukaryota; Metazoa; Mollusca; Cephalopoda; Sepiida; Sepiidae
Source: the annotation of a GenBank genome assembly
CAGCCAUAUCAUGUGAAAACAUUGGUUCUCAUAUGAUCACUGAAGUUAAGCAAUGUUGAGCCUAGUCAGUACCUAGAUGGGUGACUGCUUGGGAAUACCAAAUAAU